AUGUUGUAUGGAGAGUUCUGUCUGGCCAAUGUGAUCAGAAGAACUCACAGGUGGUAUUGUACCAAGGUUUGUUCAGGUGUGGGCCCUGUCUCACCCCACUGUCCAAGAAGACUGUUAAUGUUGAGGAUUGUCUCUAGAAGCCACGUCCAGAAAGUGUUUCUGCUCCUUUUGCCGAGGAACGAAGGCUGUGCAUCACAAACCAGGACAGGGGGGAUAGGAAUGCACGGCACAAGGACAGCUCACGACCUGAGAAACAGGAUAUACACGUGAGUAAAUUUUGAGGAUGAAGGUGACUGCCCAUCACCAGCUGUUCUGAGUGGAAAUCUAGCACAGCAGAGCGCUGGGACCAGGAAGGACAGCAUUUGCACAGUGCACACUGCCCACUGGAUAGAGUGCUUUUUCAAAGCUGUGUCUUUACACCUGUACAAUCCAAGUAAAGUGGAGAAAUAAAUCAUUGUGCACAGUUGUCA
RNAcentral lists this long non-coding RNA (470 nucleotides) under Numida meleagris (helmeted guineafowl). RNAcentral describes it as "lncRNA (ENSNMEG00000018091.1)". The record is from RNAcentral. Lineage: Eukaryota; Metazoa; Chordata; Aves; Galliformes; Numididae.